AUCAACCAUUUCUCUAAAUUUUUCAGAUUUGUGGUUAUCUGACCGAUUACUUAAAUUCGCCAUAAAUAAAAAAAAAAAACCCGUCUUUUUUGGGUCAUCCUAGAUUAAUAAACUUCUUUUUCGUUAAUUGUGGGAUUACCUUUGUAUACCUGCAGUCUGUGUACUGAUGAACCAAUAUAAACCUGUUUGUCAUUUUAAUUUAUUAUUACCUAUCUACCAGUACUAGGGUCGACAGUACUGAAGUAUGUUAUGUUACUUGCAAAAAUUCCAGUGUUGCAACAGGUGGUGUUUGAGCUUACUUAUUUGUUUACAACGACAAUAGCAAAACUUAUCAGGUAUCUGGGAGAUUAUUUAUAAUCUAAUUUGCCUAUUUGACGGUGGAAGGAAGAAGCAGCAGCAGAAAUCUGGUAGCAGUCAAUAAUUGGCCAUGGAGAAAUCUAAAUUAGUCAGCUUCAUAGAAGCGGAGGACGACGAGACACAGCCCAACGCCACCUCACCAACUAAGCACCAAACCCCCAGCCACCCUUACAAAUUCAACCCAGCUUUAAUGCGAUGGGGUCUUUAUCGCUCUAAACAGUAUGUGGUAACCCUUAGUCAUCUCAAGCAGAAGGAUAUUUGGAAGCAUCUCUCAUGGUUUGUCCUCACCAUAUUUUUCUGUCUGUUUGUUCUGGGAGUGUGUAGACUUUAUUUUGAAUUUAAUUACAGAUCAAAUUUUACAAGUUAUCCUUUGCCUUACUUGUGUGUGUACCUAUUUAUAUACACUGUAGCCUGUGUGCGGGGAGCUAUUAUAUCAAAAGAUCCUUGUGUUUGGGGGUUAUUAAUGAUAUACUAUAGGGCUGUGGGUCACCGUACAAACUUCCUCUUUGAAGACAAUACACAUUUAAUGGAGGAGUGUGUUGGAUUAGAGGAAAGAGCUGAUGAAGUAAAGGAAACAAAGGGUCUACAAAAACUAGAAACCAAAUCAACGACCAAUCAAUAUGAAGAAGAAAGGAAUGUUACCGGUUGAAGGCGGACAACUUUGGCCUCAUUAGAUCCGCCAUCUUGAUCACAUUAGUAUUUUCAUUUAAAGUUAGAAUGAUUUCUUGGCUUGGGUGUGUUUGUACCCAUUGAUUAUCACCCGAGUUGGUCAAAUGAAAAAUGAGAUCGGGAAGAAAACAUUACCAGUGCGUGAAAAUAACUUUAGCUCAACACAAACAGACAACUGCUUUAAAUUGUGAACAAGAACAUGCAUUUGUAUAACAUUACAUAUUAAUAAAAAUAAUUAUAGUUAUGAGAAAAAUAAUGUAGCGUUAAAUAAAAAAAAAACCCAGACUGUGCAGGUUAUCGUAAAUACUGUAACUACAAACAGGUAACAAAUUAAUCAAAUGAAAGCCUUUUGUGUUUAUACUGUACCUUCGUAUGGAGUACAGUAAGACCUUCACUAUAAUAUGAUGGUGUUGUAAUUAAUGUGUUCCUUAUGCUUGAUACACUAUAGUACUAUAUAUGGACCGAAGAUGAAGUGUGUCGUGUUAUACAUAAGGUUUGGUGAGAGCUGCGUUGAGGUAGGCUGAGUGCAACUGAUUCUUGUGUGUAUUAUGACCAUCCCUUGCUUUUCACUUUUAUGUGUAUGGUAGGUAUGGUACAUUGAAUUAAUUGUUUUCUAAUAGACAACCUGUACUGUAAUGGACCUGUACACAGCUAACUAAUUAUGUAUCUAAGUUAAAAGAAGAGAGAUAUUAUAGGUGUCAGAUAUGAAUGGUGGGUAUUUUUUUUCUUCUAACACUUUGAGAAGCAAGUGACCAAAGUCAGUGAUCAUAAACACAGUAUUUGUAAUAUGAUGAAAUGAUUUUGGUGUAUUGUAUCAGUAAACAUAUGCACCUUUGGUACUGUGAUAAUAAUGUAUUUUUAAGGAACUGAAUGGCCUUACUUUGGGUCUGCAAACAUUGGUACUUUCUAUGCAAUUCUUUACUGGGAGCUAAAAGUUUGUGUACAUGAUAUACUGUACUGUAGUCAUGUAUUGUAUAGUGUUGUGAUAAUAUCAUACUGGUAUUGUUAUAAUUUUGGAGGUGUUUUGGAAGAUGCCUUACAUGAGUGUUAGAGCUCUACUAAUGAGUGACUGACUGAGUCAUGGAUGAAACAAGUUUCUCUCACCAGACUUUGUUGAUGUAGCUCAUAAUAGAUUCUUGGUUACUGUUACUCUUAAAGAUACAAACACUAAUGUUAUAAUUUACAAUCUCACACUGUUGGAAAUUUGUCUAAAAUUGUACAUUGUUCAUUUAGAAUUUAAACAAGUAUUGUAUUAUCAUAGAGAAUUUAUCAAAUAUUUAUAUAUGGUGGUGAGUGUAAACAGUGUUCACCUCCUGGCCUGAGGGUUGUUGGUUUAUUGCCAGGACUAUCCCGGUCCAUCCAGCUGUAAAGGGUACAGUACCACGACCUAUCCUUACAGUCGGGGAAGUGAAUGACUGUACAACUGUCUCCUUACUUACUGAAGACAUAGUACACCCACCUGGACCGUGGCCCAACACCAUCCCUACAGUUCUAAUGAAAACUAUUUUUUAAGAAAAUACAAGUUUUUUUAAAAAUUACUAUUAAGUAGAAUGAAGCAGGACAGUUUAACAUUAAGUGCCAUUUACACUGAUGCUAACAAAAGGGCCCCACACCCUAAAUACUGUACACGGUACUCUCAUAUAAGUGAAGGUAUAUAAUAUGUCGAUGCUAUGUACUGUACUGUACUGUACUGUACUGUACUGUAUUGUACUGUACUGUACUGUACUGUACAUGUGUUAUAUGAAUUAAAUAAAAUUAUCAAUAAUAAGACAAUAAAAUUAAAACAAUUAAAUAAUAAUAAUCUUGCAAGUACUAGUACCUAAUGUUAUACUAUAUAGAACUCAAUCUCUCACAAAAGUGCUGAGCUAUUACACUUGAGUGUUAAUCUGUCUUCAUCUUAACAGCUUGUCCUGUCUUCCUUGUGUUUAACAGACUGCCUUUUUGCUAGAUCAUUGUCAGAGGUACAGUACAGUACCAUACAGUAUGUAGUUGCUGUUUAUACCAUAAACUUGACCAUACACUGUACUGUAUGUAACACAACAAAUAUUUAAAAUGAUGAUCAAAUUCGGGGAAACAGUUUCUCAUGUGAUUUACCGAUACCGUACAUACUGGUUCGAUUUGAUAGAUUCCCAAAUCAGCAAACUUGUUUUGGAUUCUACACAAAUGAACUAUGGAUGUUUCAAGUCCAAAAGUAAAGUAUUUAAAAUAUUGUACCGUACAUGCUUAUUAAUGUGAAAUAAUAUGACUACUGUACACAAAUACUUUUACUGGUCCAUAUCAGAAGGCUAUUUAUGAUUAAUUUAUAAACAAGUACUGUAUAUUAGAGUAUAACAUUCUAGAGGAAAAUAAUUACAGUAUAUCAGCCUUUAAACCCAUACAGGUAGUGAGUGAGUCAGGUUAUUGGUAUUGUAGUGAGGGAGUCAGCAGCUUGACCUUGUUAGUGGUCUGCCAGUCUAAUAUGUACCUAAAGGCUAGAUAUUACAAGAAUACAUGAUGUUUGUUAAGGAUGUUGUCUUAAGUUUAGGUGAAAUAAGAAAUGAUUAUUUUACAGGGUAGUUGGUGGAGUGUAGAUGAAGUAUACUGUACUGUAAUAAGAAGAGAGAAAGAUAUAUGUUUAUGCCUUGGUGUAAAAUGUAUUUAUUCAGGUAGAAGAAAAUUAAAUACAUAAAGAUAUAUUAACUAUUUAUACUAAACAAAAUAAAUCUUUUAUACUUU
Molecule: long non-coding RNA, 3741 nt
Organism: Homarus americanus (American lobster)
Lineage: Eukaryota; Metazoa; Arthropoda; Malacostraca; Decapoda; Nephropidae
Exons: 2
Source: RefSeq, a predicted model, not a curated record